GAUGGGAGCUUGCUCCCUGAUGUUAGCGGCGGACGGGUGAGUAACACGUGGGUAACCUGCCUGUAAGACUGGGAUAACUCCGGGAAACCGGGGCUAAUACCGGAUGCUUGUUUGAACCGCAUGGUUCAAACAUAAAAGGUGGCUUCGGCUACCACUUACAGAUGGACCCGCGGCGCAUUAGCUAGUUGGUGAGGUAAUGGCUCACCAAGGCAACGAUGCGUAGCCGACCUGAGAGGGUGAUCGGCCACACUGGGACUGAGACACGGCCCAGACUCCUACGGGAGGCAGCAGUAGGGAAUCUUCCGCAAUGGACGAAAGUCUGACGGAGCAACGCCGCGUGAGUGAUGAAGGUUUUCGGAUCGUAAAGCUCUGUUGUUAGGGAAGAACAAGUGCCGUUCAAAUAGGGCGGCACCUUGACGGUACCUAACCAGAAAGCCACGGCUAACUACGUGCCAGCAGCCGCGGUAAUACGUAGGUGGCAAGCGUUGUCCGGAAUUAUUGGGCGUAAAGGGCUCGCAGGCGGUUUCUUAAGUCUGAUGUGAAAGCCCCCGGCUCAACCGGGGAGGGUCAUUGGAAACUGGGGAACUUGAGUGCAGAAGAGGAGAGUGGAAUUCCACGUGUAGCGGUGAAAUGCGUAGAGAUGUGGAGGAACACCAGUGGCGAAGGCGACUCUCUGGUCUGUAACUGACGCUGAGGAGCGAAAGCGUGGGGAGCGAACAGGAUUAGAUACCCUGGUAGUCCACGCCGUAAACGAUGAGUGCUAAGUGUUAGGGGGUUUCCGCCCCUUAGUGCUGCAGCUAACGCAUUAAGCACUCCGCCUGGGGAGUACGGUCGCAAGACUGAAACUCAAAGGAAUUGACGGGGGCCCGCACAAGCGGUGGAGCAUGUGGUUUAAUUCGAAGCAACGCGAAGAACCUUACCAGGUCUUGACAUCCUCUGACACCCCUAGAGAUAGGGCUUCCCCUUCGGGGGCAGAGUGACAGGUGGUGCAUGGUUGUCGUCAGCUCGUGUCGUGAGAUGUUGGGUUAAGUCCCGCAACGAGCGCAACCCUUGAUCUUAGUUGCCAGCAUUCAGUUGGGCACUCUAAGGUGACUGCCGGUGACAAACCGGAGGAAGGUGGGGAUGACGUCAAAUCAUCAUGCCCCUUAUGACCUGGGCUACACACGUGCUACAAUGGACAGAACAAAGGGCAGCGAGACCGCGAGGUUAAGCCAAUCCCACAAAUCUGUUCUCAGUUCGGAUCGCAGUCUGCAACUCGACUGCGUGAAGCUGGAAUCGCUAGUAAUCGCGGAUCAGCAUGCCGCGGUGAAUACG
This 1314-nucleotide ribosomal RNA is filed under the name Bacillus atrophaeus. Its description in RNAcentral is "bacterial SSU rRNA". It matches the Rfam family "Bacterial small subunit ribosomal RNA", at positions 71 to 1370 of the family's 1533-position model. Lineage: Bacteria; Bacillati; Bacillota; Bacilli; Caryophanales; Bacillaceae. The record is from RNAcentral.